RNAcentral lists this ribosomal RNA (440 nucleotides) under uncultured bacterium. RNAcentral's name for it is "partial 16S ribosomal RNA". It matches the Rfam family "Bacterial small subunit ribosomal RNA", at positions 338 to 795 of the family's 1533-position model. The record is from RNAcentral.
CCUACGGGGCGCAGCAGUGGGGGAUAUUGCACAAUGGGGGGAACCCUGAUGCAGCGACGCCGCGUGGGUGAAGGAGCGUUUCGGCGCGUAAAGCCCUAUCGGCAGGGAAGAAGAUGACGGUACCUGACCAAGAAGCCCCGGCGAAAUACGGGCCAGCAGCCGCGGGAAUACGUAGGGGGCAAGGUUUAUCCGGAUUUACUGGGGGUAAAGGGGGCGCAGACGGGAAUGCAAGUCAGGAGUGAAAGCCCGGGGGCCAACCCCGGGACUGCUCUUGAAACUGCAUGGCUGGAGUACAGGAGGGGCAGGCGGAAUGCGUAGUGUAGCGGUGAAAUGCGUAGAUAUUAGGAGGAACACCGGUGGCGAAGGCGGCCUGCUGGACUGUGACUGACGUUGAGGCCCGAAGGCGUGGGGAGCAAACAGGAUUAGAUACCCGUGUAGUC